This 515-nucleotide ribosomal RNA is filed under the name uncultured bacterium. Its description in RNAcentral is "partial 16S ribosomal RNA". It matches the Rfam family "Bacterial small subunit ribosomal RNA", at positions 28 to 523 of the family's 1533-position model. The record is from RNAcentral.
GAUGAACGCUGGCGGCGUGCCUAAUACAUGCAAGUCGAGCGAAUGGAUUAAGAGCUUGCUCUUAUGAAGUUAGCGGCGGACGGGUGAGUAACACGUGGGUAACCUGCCCAUAAGACUGGGAUAACUCCGGGAAACCGGGGCUAAUACCGGAUAACAUUUUGAACCGCAUGGUUCGAAAUUGAAAGGCGGCUUCGGCUGUCACUUAUGGAUGGACCCGCGUCGCAUUAGCUAGUUGGUGAGGUAACGGCUCACCAAGGCAACGAUGCGUAGCCGACCUGGGAGGGUGAUCGGCCACACUGGGACUGAGACAUGGCCCAGACUCCUACGGGAGGCAGCAGUAGGGAAUCUUCCGCAAUGGACGAAAGUCUGACGGAGCAACGCCGCGUGAGUGAUGAAGGCUUUCGGGUCGUAAAACUCUGUUGUUAGGGAAGAACAAGCGCUAGUUGAGUAAGCUGGCACCUUGACGGUACCUAACCAGAAAGCCACGGCUAACUACGUGCCAGCCGCCGCCGUAA